UACCUGCAGCUCAAGUGGUGAUCGCUAUUAUUGGGCCUAAAACGUCCGUAGCCGGUUUAUUAAAUGCCUGGGUAAAUCGUAUAGCUCAACUAUACGAAUUCCGGGUAGACUGUUAAACUUGAGACCGGGAGAAGCUAGAGGUACUCCUGGGGUAGAGGUGAAAUUCUGUAAUCCUAGGGGGACCACCAGUGGCGAAGGCGUCUAGCUAUAACGGGUCUGACGGUGAGGGACGAAGCCCUGGGGCGCAAACCGGAUUAGAUACCCGGGUAGUCCAGGGUGUAAACGCUGCUUGCUUGAUGUUGGUUGGGCUCCGAGCCCGAUCAGUGUCGGAGAGAAGUUGUUAAGCAAGCUGCCUGGGAAGUACGGUCGCAAGACUGAAACUUAAAGGAAUUGGCGGGGAGCACAGCAACGGGUGGAGCGUGCGGUUU
RNAcentral lists this ribosomal RNA (428 nucleotides) under uncultured archaeon. RNAcentral's name for it is "bacterial SSU rRNA". It matches the Rfam family "Archaeal small subunit ribosomal RNA", at positions 474 to 903 of the family's 1478-position model. The record is from RNAcentral.